GCAUGGGUGGUUCAAUGGUAGAAUUCUCACCUGCCACGCGGGAGGCCCAGGGUUCGAUUCCCGGCCCAUGCA
Non-coding RNA from Cervus elaphus (red deer), 72 nucleotides. The record is from the annotation of a RefSeq genome assembly. NCBI's taxonomy places the organism in Eukaryota, Metazoa, Chordata, Mammalia, Artiodactyla, Cervidae.